UGGGGAAUAUUGCACAAUGGGCGAAAGCCUGAUGCAGCCAUGCCGCGUGUGUGAAGAAGGCCUUAGGGUUGUAAAGCACUUUCAGCGAGGAGGAAAGGAUUAAAGUUAAUACCUUUAGUCUAUGACGCUACUCGCAGAAGAAGCACCGGCUAACUCCGUGCCAGCAGCCGCGGUAAUACGGAGGGUGCGAGCGUUAAUCGGAAUUACUGGGCGUAAAGCGUGCGUAGGCGGCUACUUAAGUUGGAUGUGAAAGCCCCGGGCUCAACCUGGGAACUGCAUCCAAAACUGGGUGGCUAGAGUGCGAGAGAGGAGUGUGGAAUUUCCUGUGUAGCGGUGAAAUGCGUAGAUAUAGGAAGGAACACCAGUGGCGAAGGCGACACUCUGGCUUGACACUGACGCUGAGGUACGAAAGCGUGGGGAGCAAACAGGAUUAGAUACCCUGGUAGUCCACGCCGUAAACAAUGUCUACUAGUUGUCCGUUGUCUUGUACGAUGGGUAACGCAGCUAACGCGAUAAGUAGACCGCCUGGGGAGUACGGCCGCAAGGUUA
Molecule: ribosomal RNA, 549 nt
Filed under: uncultured bacterium
Lineage: Bacteria
Description: bacterial SSU rRNA
Rfam family: Bacterial small subunit ribosomal RNA
Source: RNAcentral